CCCGGCAGAGCCACCCAGCGCCCAGGGGGCUCCGCGUCUUUAUUCUUUCUUUUCUUUUUUUCUCUUUGCCUCCUCCAGGAUUUAAAGGGACAGCCCCGGCCGAAGCGACGGGCCAGGCGGCCGCCGUUUCUCCGGUCUCCAGACGCCCUCUGCGGCCCGGCCGGACCCGCUCACACCGGAGCGCUAGCCUGGAACUGCAGGGUGCUUUUAGGCGCACACCCGGCCCGGGGCAGCGCGGCUGCGGAGCUUGGCUCGGUCGCUCGGUGCACUAUUUUUUCACAGAGUCCGAUUAGGAUAGGAAAUUAAACGACUCGACAACUGCUUUCCAAACCAGAGGCGGUGAGCAGAGAAGGUUCAGAAGUUUCUCUAUUGCUCCCGGAAUUUCAACGAGCGCCCCCAGACGCCUCGCAGAAACCAGCUUAAAAAAAAAAAGUUUAUUUGUCUCCAACUCCUGAGCUGCGAGGGACGCCCAACAGUGGCGCGCGAGAGAAUCACCACUACCUUGCCUCAAAUCUGGCCACCCAUCAAAAGACAGCCCUACCACCGAAACUCUAUCUUGGUCUUCUAGUGCUGCAAACACUCGGUGAUGUUUUAGAGAAUUCCUGCAGUCCUGCUUGGUGCCUCCUUACGACUUUCAGCUCCAGAAUGUUCAGCUCAUCCUCACAUCCAAUGCAUCUUCGUAAAAAGAGAAA
Long non-coding RNA from Psammomys obesus (fat sand rat), 692 nucleotides. RefSeq lists it as uncharacterized. The record is from RefSeq and is a predicted model, not a curated record. Lineage: Eukaryota; Metazoa; Chordata; Mammalia; Rodentia; Muridae. The transcript is spliced from 3 exons.